RNAcentral lists this unclassified non-coding RNA (330 nucleotides) under soil metagenome. RNAcentral's name for it is "partial contains 5.8S ribosomal RNA, internal transcribed spacer 2, and large subunit ribosomal RNA". The stretch from base 1 to 120 matches the Rfam family "5.8S ribosomal RNA", at positions 35 to 154 of the family's 154-position model. The record is from RNAcentral.
GAUGAAGAACGCAGCGAAAUGCGAUACGUAAUGUGAAUUGCAGAUUUCAGUGAAUCAUCGAAUCUUUGAACGCACAUUGCGCCCCUUGGUAUUCCGAGGGGCAUGCCUGUUCGAGCGUCAUUAUAACCCCUCAAGCUUAGCUUGGUGUUGGGGCCUGCUGUAAUAGAGCAGCCCUUAAAAUCAGUGGCGGUGCCAUUAGGCUCUAAGCGUAGUAAUUCUUCUCGCUAUAGGGUUCUGGUGGAUGCUUGCCAUUAACCUCUAAUUUUCUAUGGUUGACCUCGGAUCAGGUAGGGAUACCCGCUGAACUUAAGCAUAUCAAUAAGCGGAGGA